This is a long non-coding RNA of Drosophila guanche, 486 nucleotides long. RefSeq lists it as uncharacterized. The transcript is spliced from 2 exons. The record is from RefSeq and is a predicted model, not a curated record. Lineage: Eukaryota; Metazoa; Arthropoda; Insecta; Diptera; Drosophilidae.
AGUCUACUCCAUAACAUAUCAACACAAAGUUCAAACAAUUUAUUACGAAACGACAACAAGCAGAAGCUACCCCAAAACUACAUUAAGACAAACUCCCUGCAGGUCAAACGCGGAAAUGGUGGUGGUGCCAGCAGAUGAAAAUAUGUUGGUCCAUGCUACUGAAAAGGUCCUCACUGUGGCGCAUGAGCACCGCACCACUCUGGCGUUGGGAGCAGCUGUCGUGCUCUUAAUACUCGCGAUCAUCCUUCUGAUUAAGUUAUUUAAGAAACCUGAGCCUAAGCCUCGACUCGUCCUGGUACCGAUGGCAGAUGAGCCACCAGAGCCUCCCCCACAGAACAUGAUACCCCAUCACCGAUAUAAUUUGAGAAACACGCCAGCCCGUCGAUACCGGGCUUGUAACUAAUAUUCAAAUUACAUUUUUCGAUUAUAAAUCUAGCAAUCAAAACGAUGUCAAAAUUCCAAAAUAAAACCAUCAAUAAUGCUGUA